Molecule: ribosomal RNA, 770 nt
Filed under: Ornithobacterium rhinotracheale
Lineage: Bacteria; Pseudomonadati; Bacteroidota; Flavobacteriia; Flavobacteriales; Weeksellaceae
Description: bacterial SSU rRNA
Rfam family: Bacterial small subunit ribosomal RNA
Source: RNAcentral
GAGAAUUAAUUUACGGAUUAAGGAAACCGGCGCACGGGUGCGUAACGCGUAUGCAACUUGCCCUUAUCAGGAGGAUAGCCCGGUUUAACUCGAUUAAUACUCCAUAAGAUUUUGAUUGGCAUCGAUUUUAUUGAAAGAUUUAUUGGAUAAGGAUAGGCAUGCGUCAGAUUAGUUAGUUGGUAGUGUAACGGACUACAAAGGCGAUGAUCUGUAGGGGUCCUGAGAGGGAGAACCCCCACACUGGUACUGAGACACGGACCCGGCUCCUACGGGAGGCAGCAGUGAGGAAUAUUGGACAAUGGAGGGAACUCUGAUCCAGCCAUCCUGCGUGCAGGAAGACGGCCCUUUGGGUUGUAAACUCUUUUGUAUGGGGAUUAAUCUACUUACGUGUAGGUAGUUGAAGGUACCAUACGAAUAAGCAUCGGCUUACUCCGUGCCAGCAGCCGCGGUNAUUCGGAGAAUGCAAGCGUUAUCCGGAUUCAUUGGGUUUAAAGGGUCCGUAGGCGGGCUGAUAAGUCAGUGGUGAAAUUUUGUCGCUCAACGAUAAAACUGCCAUUUAUACUGUUAGUCUUGAGUGAUAUUGAAGUAGCUGGAAUGUGUAGUGUAGCGGUGAAAUGCAUAGAUAUUACACAGAACACCGAUUGCGAAGGCAGGUUACUAAGUAUUUACUGACGCUGAAGGACAAAAGCGUGGAGCGAACAGGAUUAGAUACCCUUGUAGUCCACGCNGUAAACGAUGCUACUGGUUUUCGGGGUUUUAUCUUCGGAGAC